GACGGUGGUUGAUGCUGGUCGGUUCAGUCCGAUUGUGGCCUCCGUUUGAUUCGAAUUCCUCGACGUAUACGCAUUGAGGUUCGCCGUCUUCUCCAACAUUACCAUAUGGUUACACGCGUCGCUUGUGGAACAACAAGGAAUUGGGUAGCGGAAUUGACAGGUCCUGACCUCCUCCCACAGUAGCAUGGUGGAUCGAUCAUUUGGAGCUUAUCAUUUCCACCAUCUUUUCCAAACUUAUCCUCCACGAUUCUCUUGCGGACAAAACACAAUGGUAUGAGGACGAGCAAGUGGAAAUAAACAUGUAUCUGCGCCAAAAGGAGCAAUCAUCUGUUCUAUCUCUGAAAAGGACCAACCAUGCACUCCCAUGCGCUGCAAACUAUUCUCACUAUAGCACUUUUUGCUCAACUCUAAUGGGUUUGAUCUCCAUUGGCGGAAACUGUAGUAGGAGCUUGAAAUCAAUUGUCAACAAUUCAAUUCGUCACAUGCUACAAGAGAAAAUUAUCGAUCAUAUGUUGGAUCACACAGGCCCCAUCAGAAUUGACUCUGUACCUGUUGACCUGAAAUAAACGUAUAAUUUGAACUCGUUACUCGA
Molecule: long non-coding RNA, 592 nt
Organism: Cucurbita moschata (crookneck pumpkin)
Lineage: Eukaryota; Viridiplantae; Streptophyta; Magnoliopsida; Cucurbitales; Cucurbitaceae
Exons: 4
Source: RefSeq, a predicted model, not a curated record